UUAGGAAUUUUGCGCAAUGGGGGUAACCCUGACGCAGCAACGCCGCGUGAGUGAUGAAGGCCUUCGGGUUGUAAAGCUCUUUUAGUGGGGACGAAACAAAUGACGGUACCCGCAGAAAAAGCACCGGCUAACUCUGUGCCAGCAGCCGCGGUAAUACAGAGGGUGCAAGCGUUAUUCGGAUUUAUUGGGCGUAAAGCGCAUGUAGGCGGUUCGGUAAGUUUGGUGUGAAAUCCCCCGACUCAAUCGGGGAAGUGCAUUGAAUACUGCCAGACUAGAGGAUAGGAGGGGAGAACGGAAUUCCUGGUGUAGAGGUGAAAUUCGUAGAUAUCAGGAGGAACAACGGUAGCGAAGGCGGUUCUCUGGACUAUAACUGACGCUGAGAUGCGAAAGCGUGGGUAGCAAACAGG
This 407-nucleotide ribosomal RNA is filed under the name uncultured bacterium. Its description in RNAcentral is "bacterial SSU rRNA". It matches the Rfam family "Bacterial small subunit ribosomal RNA", at positions 355 to 776 of the family's 1533-position model. The record is from RNAcentral.